UCACUGCAACCUCCGCCUCCCAGGUUCAAGUGCUUCUCCUGCCUCAGCCUCACGAGUAGCUGGGAUUACAGGUUUCAGGCACAGAACUGUAUAUCCAAUAAUAGUGAAAUGGAUCCCACUAAUUAUGACAGAAAUGAUGAUACAUUUAAAUGACUUGGAUGUUUUGUAGGUAUGAUCUCGUGAAACCUUGAGAGAAACUGAAUGAUGAAUGAAACUAUUGUUCCUAUUUCACACAGAAGAAAACUGAAGUUAAAAGGGGUAAAGUAAUUUUGCAUGGCAUGAAGUAGAAAUUCAAAGUACAGGAAUUUGAACUUGGUUCUGUCCUUUUCUGAAGCCCUUGACCACUAUAGACUCAAACAUCACCUUGUUUUUCCACUCAUUCAACACUUUUUUUUUUUUAUUAUCUAAUAGGUUGGCAAUCAUCAUGAGCCCCUGUUCUCAUUCUGCAAAUGGUGAGGCUCUCUAUUGUCCUGACCCCACAGUUCCUGUCCCAUGACCAGGGCCAGCUCACCAAGCAGCUGCAGCAGCACGUAAAGUCAGUGACAUGCCCAUGCGAGUACCUGAGGAAGAUGAUCCUACACCUGCCACCUCCGAUGGAUCCACUGCCUCUGUGCCUGCCUGUACUGCUGAUGCUCCAGUGGAUAACUCAGCAUCCCAGCCUAGGCCAAUGCCACUGAAGAUGGACCUGCCCCUGGGGACCGAGGAGUCCUACCACUCAGCUGUCCCCAGGAGUGCCAGACCCUCAUUCUUAUCCAGGACCUAGAGCCCUACCCCUGGCCUUCCUCAUCAGCCGUAAAUGAUGAUUUACUGCUGUUACCAUCAUCACUGCCUUCAGUGACCAAGGGCUUCCAAGGUGCCAGCUCUGGAACGAAGGAUGCCCUUGGGGUGAUGACACUCAGGUACAUGGGUGCUCAACAGAUUGCUUCCUUCUAUCUCAGACGGUCUUUGCAUGCAUGCAGCCGUUGGCACUCCAUUGUAUGGAAGGAAACCAGCCCAGGGUCACACAGCUGGUCAGCAGCAACAUAGCUGGUCUCAAAUCUAAGGUGCCUGGCCAUGCCUCCAUGAGGGACUGCCUGCAAGGGAGGUUGAUCCUGGCUUUGGGAGGGCCUUUCCUGGGCUGCACGAAUAACCUCCAUUGUUCGAGACCCUAAACUCUGCUCCAUCUUCCUUUCCCUGUCUCUGCUUGGCUAUGAUCACGGCGACUCUAGCAGCG
This 1213-nucleotide long non-coding RNA is filed under the name Pan troglodytes (chimpanzee). RNAcentral describes it as "lncRNA (ENSPTRG00000053077.1)". Lineage: Eukaryota; Metazoa; Chordata; Mammalia; Primates; Hominidae. The record is from RNAcentral.